GUCUACGACCUUACCACCCGGAAAACACCGGUUCUCGUCUGAUCACCGAAGUUAAGCCUGGUCGGGCGAAGUUAGUACUUGGAUGGGUGACCGCCUGGGAAUACUUCGUGUUGUAGACU
This 119-nucleotide ribosomal RNA is filed under the name Paramuricea clavata. Lineage: Eukaryota; Metazoa; Cnidaria; Anthozoa; Malacalcyonacea; Plexauridae. The record is from RNAcentral.